Non-coding RNA from Heterocephalus glaber (naked mole-rat), 4921 nucleotides. The record is from RefSeq and is a predicted model, not a curated record. Lineage: Eukaryota; Metazoa; Chordata; Mammalia; Rodentia; Bathyergidae.
CCUCCUCCUCCUGCUCCUCCUCCCCCUCGCCUCCCCCGCUCCUCCCUCCUCCCCUCCGCGCCCCACACUUCGCACCGCGCGGCUCGCCGGCGCCUCUAUCUAUUUUGUGUCCAGCCCCAGCCGCGCGCCGUGAUUCAUGGCCCCAAUUAGGGGCCCUCCCGCUCCAGCGCCUGCGGCUCCAGGGUCUCCUGGGGACCUGGGACACCCGGCAGCGUCCCAGGCUGGUUUUUCAGCAGAGGUCAAGCGGGACGUGGGAGGAGCCAGGUAAGGAAGGGCGACCCUCCCCGCUCUGAAUGGGCACCACGCAAGCCAGGGGCGGGAACACCCUUCAGAGCCCUGUGCUCCAGUUCUGCAGACAGCAAGAGUUGGCCCUGGUCUCUUCCCACCCGUUAGUGAGUGCAUCACCCUGGGGACAGAGUCCUCAGGCCACCGCCUCUCCCCACCGCAGGCAGAGGUAGAAAGGGCACUGAGUGUCCAGGGCAGGUUCCCCACAGUCUGAGACAGGAGCUGCCCAGAGAGCUGCUGUUUCACAAACCUCACUGCAUUCAACACAGCAGCACCCACAGAGUACUGGGCAGCUCGGGCAUCGGCUCGGCCUGCUCUCGAUGAGCCCAUUGCACUGAUAGGAAGGAGGCAGCGCUGACUGCUGAGGUGCCUCUCAGACCCUGGGCCUCCAGAGGCUGACAUCUGGUCCACAUCAGCCUCUGAGGAUGGAGCCAGGACCCCCCCCCCCCAGCCUCCCUCUCGGGCUGGGCCUAGGAGCCCUCUCUGGACCUCAGUGGCCCCUCGGUGACUUGAUACUCGUCCAGCUUCAGGGUUCCAGUGCGAUUUCCCAGCCCUCCACAGCUGUCCUGAGCCGGCAGCUGGAGCCUAGAGUCCCGGCACGAAGGGCUGGAAGGGCCCCUCUGCUCUCAGGGGUGCAGACGUGGAAAUGAAGCGGGGCUUCCCCUUGGCACAGAGGCCCUUGUGUUGUAAAUACAUGGAGGAAGGGAAAGGGCCCUCGGGAGUCCCUGGUGGACACUCCAGGACUCAGCCCCAGGUUUAACAGGAAGAUCGGGGAGGCAGGGACGUGGGCCUGGGGCCUCUUCGGGGCCCAGGAAAGUGCUGGCUCAGCACACUGUCCGGAAGAACGUGGUGGUGGGGGCUGCUCCUGGCCCUUUUAAUGCCUGGUGAGAAGCACUGGUUAGGAAGGUCCUACGGGCAAGGUCUGGUCCAUUGUGUGCCUGCCAGUCACGGGGCCUGCUGGGUCCCCAGACGGAAAGCUGUCUGGGCAAACGACGGCCCCAUGGGAGCCGGGUCUCUGGGUGGACGGGGUCCCCUAGGCUUGCCAAGGCUGCCCCCCCCCACCCCGCAGCGCUCUCUGUGGAGCCCUGCAGCUGUCUUGGUGGCCCUGGGCACAGUGACAUCAGUGGCUUCCAGUCUUCCCCUGAGACAGGUCCUGGGAGUUUGCCAUUGGGUUUCUCCUCUUUCGUCUGCUCUUCCCUCUCUGCCCCUCCAUGCCCCCCAGGGGUCCUAGUGCCCCCUCCAGAGAGCAGAACCUGCCUCUGUCUUGGUCACUGCAUAUCCAGGGCCUGCUCUGUGCUCAGGCCCCACGAGCCCCAGUCCCGGUCCUGUCCCCUCCUCCCCUCCCUGGCCAGCUAUGGGAAGCUGGGCAGCCCACUUAAUGGGCCCAACUCGUGGGGCCCAAGGGCAGAGGCCAGAGGCAGCAGAGAGUGUGCUCAGGUGCAGAGGUGGUAUGUGGGGUGCCCCUGCUGGCCCUGCGCAGUGUGUGGCGCCACUGAGACCCACCAAUGGGACAAGAGGGGGCGAUGGGAAUCCGGGGCUUUCUCUGCUAAGCAGGCCCCUCCAGAAGAGCUUCCUGUGUGUGUGCGUGUUCGUGUGCUAAUGUAUGUAUGUGCUGUGCAUGCAUCUGCGUGCAUGGCUGUGUGCACGUGUGUGCACAGUGCAGAUGUGCGCGCAUGCGUGCGUGUGUCCAUGUGUGGAGCGGAUCAGCAGGGGAAGUGGGUGGUGUCCGCCUGCGUGUUUCUUUCUCUCCGUGCCCUAGUGACUCAGGGAAGUGUCCUGGCACAGGCAGAGAAGGAAGAAGGUGAGUGACAGACGUCAGUCAUCUGUAGGUGGGUGGUGAGGAGCACAGCUGGGCACAACAGCCUGAGGCCACAGCCCCUCUGGGUACUCGCUGUGUGGCCUUGGCCUGCCACUAACCUCUCCGAGCCUCAGUUUCCCUAUCUGGGAAAGAACAAUAACAAAGCAGCAUACUCACUAGCGAUGGCGGAGGAGGAAUGGAGACAAAAGGGGGAAGCACCCUCUCUGGCCAGGGGAGCAGCUACAGGUGUCGUGGGCAGCCACACCCUCGAUGUGCCUCCCAGGCGCCGACUCCCAUGGUGGGUUCUGCUGCAUCCAGCUCACAGGAUGCUAGCGGGUUCCUGCCUGGACACAAACUGGCCUGCGUUCACACUGGGAGAGAGGAUGACAGUGAUGCAAAGCAGCCGUUUCAAGCACUGUCCGCUCCAUUCCCCACGGACCAGAGGCCGUCAGUUGGGCAGCUGUGUGCAUCCCGGACUCGCAGCCACCUGCAGAGCUCUCCCAGGACACAGUACCCCCUUGGGCGGCUCCACCCUGCCUGUGCCUGUGCAGCCUGCAUGUGUCUGGCCUCUGGCUCGCUGGGGACCAGAAACACAACGCAUCAUCUGACUGCCCUAUUUUGUCUUUUCUCUUUCUUUUUCUCUUUUCUUUUUGCCUAAGAACGAGGCAAGCACCUCUCUGUUCUCCUCAGAAGGAGCUCCAAACGUGGCAGGCGUCUGGCAAAAAUAUGUCCUCCUUCUCAGGAAGAAUGUAAUGCUAACAAUAAAAAUAAGACCCUGGGGUUUAUGCAGGCCUCGUGCCUGGGGACUGUCUCACAUCUGGUGGCUCAAGAGGCCUGGCAGGAAGCAUUCUCUCUGCUUUAGGAGUGGGGAAACUGAGGCUCCAAGAGGUAGGGAGUUAGUUGCUCUCGGGUACAAUCCUGGAGCUAGGGCCAGCCAGCAGGGCUGGUGAUGUUUCAUCGUGUGUCACGCAGGUGAACUGCGGAUUUGUUCACUGUGAACUUGAAAUGUGCACAGUGUGUUGGGGACUCUGUCUUAGAAUUUGUUCCUUUUUAUAAAUUCUGGGGUCUCUGAGAGUGGGGGUGAGGGGAACUUUUUUUUUUUUAUCUCCGGAGCCUCAGAUAAAGUAGGCAGAAAUAUGUCAUAUGCUACAGAGUUCCUUGGUUAAAAAAUUCACACCUUGUAUUUGUGCAAUUAAAGAUCAGUGCGUGGGGUAUGAUUCUGAGCAGAAUCGCGUCCCCUAAAACCUCGCCUUCUCCCCUAACCUGACACAGAAUCUGUCUGGCUCUGGGAGACACCAUCCCCCACCCGGCCCGCCCUCUCGCCUAAUCCAAGGAUUUUGCCGUGAACUUCAGGGCCUCGUAAAACGCCUUUGAUAAACGAUCACCGCCGGCAGUGCUGACCUGUGAGGGGAGGACAGCAGACGCUCCGCAUAAAUCCCCCGAGCUCCGAGCUCCGAGCUCCGAGACACACUUGCCGCUGCCGCCUGCUCCUCUACGGAUGGCUGAUCGGGCAGCAGCAACACAGCGGUCAGCGCCGGGGUGGUUCCCACAUGUCCAAGCCUCAUGGGGCCUGGGGACGGUGGGCGUGGGUGAGCGAGGAGGGGAGGGACAGACGUGGACGGUAGCAGGGGGUCCUGGUGUGCCGCAGUGUGAACAAGAAGCCAGUUUGUGUCUCAGGACUCGUUUACGGGGAGUCGCUGGAUGCAGAAUGAGCUGCUUCCCUCAGGUCUCGCAACAAAACAUCUGAAAAGAGGGCUGUGCUGUUGAGCACCUUGACGCAUGGGAGGGACGCUGAUGCCUGCAACAGUGACCGUGUCCCCGCGGUCCCUGAGCUGGGUGGUGUCGGCCAGCCUGGCCUGGGCGCCUCACUCACCACCCGGCUGCAGGCCCACCUUGCCUGACCCAUCCCCAUAAAGGCAUCCUUGUCCCUUGCUGGGUCCUGCCAAUGAAGCUGAUGGUCGGAGCUCACUGGCUGCCUUCUGGACCUGCCCAUGGCUCCACCGGCGGCCGUCACCCUAAGCCUGGGGUCCCCAAGCCCGGGUACUGGAGCUCUACAGUGGGCUGGCACAGGAGGGCCAGGAAGUGAGCGGCCCCAGAUUCUUUCCAGCUGUUCUCUGAGUCACUGCAGUGUGUUCCAAGCCCAGCUGCCAGCUGCCUCCCUGGCCUGUUAUUUAUGCAGUUGCUGAGCUGUUGCUGGACUCAUCGACGGGAAUGUACGGUGGCCCUGAAGCUUGUAUCUAGUGUUCAACUGGGGUGUUGUGUUUCUUAAAAACUCUAACUGAAGUUUCGCCCCUCGACAGAAACAGGGCAUCUCGCCGAGUUCUCCCAAGCUGGACACCCCAGUGGGGUCACCUAGAAGUGCCACGAGUCCAGCUCCCAGCAGCGUGCCUGCUGUCAGGCUCCUGUGUCCCCCUGCCGAGAGUGAGGACUCACAGGCAGGACUGCAGGCGCCCCAAGUUCUGACUCCGGACUUCUUAGCCGCUCUAUCGAGGUACAGCCCACAGCCCCACAGCUCCCAGUCCGUGUGAGUGAAUUCACCGCAUUGUGCAGCCCCAGCGCAGCCGGUUCCAGACCGCUUUCCUCACCCGGAAGAGAAACCUCGUCCUGGUCGUCAUCCCGUCCGUCUGUCGCGCCCUCCCAGCACCUGGCACCUGGAUUCACCUUCUGUCCCUGUGGACUGGCCUGCUCUGGACGCUUUGCACCAAGGAGAUCGUGCAGCCCCGGCUCUUUGCAUCUGGCUCUUCUGCUUUUCAUAGCGUUUCCAAGGGUGGCUGGGUCGUGGCUUGAGGUGGUGCGGGCCAUGUUUGUACCGUUGAGGUAGAAGUUCACCACACGUGA